AGAAGGCAAAGGCCAACACACAGAAGAAGAGUGGGAGCCUGGAGAGCUGGAGACAGAAAUAAAUAAUUGAGAAACCUCCUGGAGGGUAAAGUCUGAGUCCUGUUCACCUUCUACAUGUUGCCCAGCACAGAGGACAUCCUCAAAAAGGUUAAGGAAGUGAAUAAACAAAGGAAAGCACUUUGUGAAUUGUAAAGCGAGAUCCAGGGUAAAGGAAAGAAACCUCUGCAUGAAAGAGAAGACGAACACAUGAUUCAAUGACUGUGUUUUAAGAGCCGCCUCCCGGCAUGGGCCAGUCUGGCUGGAAACUGUAGGAGGGAAUAAGAGAAGGAUCCAUGUGAGUGCGUGGUCAA
Long non-coding RNA from Cercocebus atys (sooty mangabey), 350 nucleotides. RefSeq lists it as uncharacterized. NCBI's taxonomy places the organism in Eukaryota, Metazoa, Chordata, Mammalia, Primates, Cercopithecidae. The transcript has 3 exons. The record is from RefSeq and is a predicted model, not a curated record.